Molecule: ribosomal RNA, 2903 nt
Filed under: sediment metagenome
Description: bacterial LSU rRNA
Rfam family: Archaeal large subunit ribosomal RNA
Source: RNAcentral
GCAAUGUCAUCUGGGGGAUGGCUUGGCUCAGGCACUGAGGAAGGUCGUGCCAAGCUGCGAUAUGCUCCGGGUAGGCGCAAGGAGCCUUUGAUCCGGAGAUGACCUAAUGGGACUUCCUGUCACGGUAAACCCGUGACGAUCCCGCAUGGGAUCGGGAACGCGGGGAACUGAAACAUCUUAGUACCCGCAGGAAAAGAAAGCAAUUGCGAUGCCGUGAGUACUGGCGAAAGAAAGCGGCAGAGGGCAAACCGAAUCUUUUGUGAGAGCAAAAGAGAUGUGGUGUGUGGACCCCGUUACUUCCUCGUCGGUGAACGCGAAGUCGCCUGGAACGGCGCACCAGAGAGGGUGAUAGUCCCGUAACGGUAGACCGAACGGAAGAAUGCGGGUGUUCCCGAGUAGCGCGCACCGGAUAUUGCGUGUGAACGGGAGGCAUAAACUCCCAACCCUAAAUAUGUCCUGAGACCGAUAGCGCACUAGUAGCGUGAGUGAAAGCUGAAAAGUACCUCAAAGAGAGAGGUGAAAAGAGCCUGAAACCAGAUGAUUACAGACGUAUAGGGCGUGAAAGCGUUGCACUCCUGCUUGCAGGAGGAAGGCAGCGUCCUAUUAUACGUUUCGAAAAACGGGCCAGGGAGUUUCUGCUGGUGGCGAGGUUAACCUCGGAAGAGGGAAGCCGUAGCGAAAGCAAAUGCCCGCAGGCGACGAGGGGCGAGGUGUGUUCGCCUUGAGUCACUGGCAGAUGACCCGAAGCCGGUCGAUCUAUGCGUGGCUAGGUUGAAGCCUUCUGAAAGGGAGGUGGAGGACCGAACCGGUGCUGAUUUACAAAUCGUUCGGAUGAGCUGCGUAUAGGGGUGAAAGGCCAAUCUAGACCGGUGAUAGCUGGUUCCCCCCGAAACAACUUGCAGGUUGACCUCUGGCGAGGUAGGUAGUGUGGUAGAGCACUGAUUGGACGGUUAGGGAGGGAGACCUCUCGCCGCCCUGUCAAACUCCGAAUGCGCUACCGCUGUAGACCCAGGGAGAAAGGGCGCCCGGGGUAAGCUUGGUGUCCGAAAGGGAAUGAACCCAGCUCUACGUUAAGGUCCCCAAGUGUCGGCUAAGUGUGACCUAAAGGGCGUUCACAUCCGAAGACAGCCAGGAGGUUGGCUUAGAAGCAGCCAUCCUUCAAAGAGUGCGUAACAGCUCACUGGUCGAGGGUGUGGGCACCGAAAAUGGACGGGGCUCAAGCCGACCACCGAUACGUAGACAUGAGAAUGAGUAGGGGGGCGCUGUGCGUGGGCAGAAGGUGGGGUGCAAGCUCCACUGGACCGCGUACGGUCGAGAAUCCUGGCGAUAGUAGCAGCAAAGUCGGGUGAGAAUCCCGACCGCCGAAGGGGCUAGGGUUCCUUGGCAAUGAUCGUCAGCCAAGGGUUAGCCGAUCCUAAGACCUGUCCUAAAUAGAACAGGCCGAAAGGGAAGCAGGUUAAUAUUCCUGCGCCACUGUAGUCCCUGCUUCAUAUAUGACGCAUCCGGAUAGGCCGAGUAGUGUUGUCGCACUAUUCAAGCGUUGAAGCCUGGGGAGUACCGUAAUGGUGAGAACCGGGCGAAUGCGUGACGAGGCCUCCAAUUGAGGGGGCUUCGGCUGAUUCCCGGUGCCCGUGAAAAGUAUAUGAAGGCCAACUGCAGUGAUCGUACCGAGAACUGACACAGGUGCCCCUGGGUGAGAAGCCCAAGGCGUGUCGGCGUAAUCCACCUGAGGGAACUCGGCAAAUUAGCCCUGUAACUUCGGGAUAAGGGGUGCCUGCCUUGUAAAAGGCAGGUCGCAGUGACCAGAGGACUCCGACUGUUUAAUAAAAACACAGGUGGCAGCUAGCCCGUAAGGGUGUGUAUUGCCGCUGAAGCCUGCCCAGUGCGGGUAUCUGAAAGCCUCGUACAAGAGGAAGAAGGACCCGUAAACGGCGGGGGUAACCAUGACCCUCUUAAGGUAGCGUAAUACCUUGUCGCUGAAUUGGCGACUUGCAUCAAUGGUCCAACGAGAGUCUUACUGUCCCCAGGUGGAGUCCGGUGAAAUCGACUUACUGGCGCACAGUCCAGUACCGUCCAGCUGCAAGAGAAGACCCCGUGGAGCUUUACUACAGCCUGUUGCUGGGAUACGGUCUUGAUAGUGCAGAGUAGAUAGGAGCCGUCGAAGCUCAGGCGCCAGCCUGAGUGGAGGCGUCCAUGAGACACUAUCCUACCAAGGUCGUAUCUCUAACCUGCAAGGGGACACCAGCAGGUGGGUAGUUUGGGUGGGGCGCCACACCCCUGAAACGAUAUCAGGGGUGCCCAAAGGCCAUCUCAGCCCGGUCAGAAAUCGGGCCUAGAGUGUAAGGGCAAAAGAUGGCUUGACGCGAAUUCGCACAGCGAGAAUUCGCGAUGUGAAAGCAGGGCCUAGCGAACCAAUGCUUCUCAUUUAUGGGGGGCAUUGAUGACAGAAAAGUUACCCCAGGGAUAACUGAGUUGUCUCCAGCAAGAGCCCAUAUCGACCUGGAGGCUUGCUACUUCGACGUCGUCUCUCCGCAUCCUAGCAGUGCAGCAGCUGCUAAGGGUAGGGUUGUUCGCCCGUUAAAGCGGAUCGUGAGAUGGGUUUAGACCGUCGUGAGACAGGUUGGUUUCUUUGCGCUGGACGUGUUGAUGCCUGAAGGGAAAGGCCCCUCGGUACGAGAGGAACGGGGGCCUGUAGCCUCUGGUUUACCAGCUGUUCGACAGAGCACGCUGGGCGGCUACGCUGCAAGGGAUAACCGCUGAAAGCAUCUAAGCGGGAAGCCCACCCUAAAACGAGGCAUCUAUAGAGCUCGGAUAAAAGAUCCGGUUGAUAGGACUGGGGUGUAAGCAGCAAGCUUCGGCGAGCUGUUCAGCCCGCAGUUACUAACCGCUCUGCAGCUCUCGUU